UUUUGUUAAAACUAUUAGUUUGAUUUUGUCAAUGACUUAUUUUUUAUACGACCGCAAAAAUUUUUUUUUUUUUGGGUCGUAUAUUGGUAUCACGUUGCCGUCGUCGUCGUCAGCGUCGUCCGAAGACAGAUGGUUUCCGGAUAAUAACUUUAGUAAAAGUAAAUAGAAAUCAAUAAAAUUUUAACACAAUGUUUGUAAGUAUUUCAAUUGCUCUGAUAUUGUACUACAAUGUUCCUACAAUAAAGUAGAAGGUUGAGAUUUAUUUUAAGGGUUAUGGGGCAAACAAUCUAGGAAUUAAGGGCAAACAAGGGGCCAAAAACAAGCAUUUUUGUAGUUUUGGGACAAUAACUUAUGUAUAACUGUAUGGAUCUCCCUGACAUUGUACCACAAGGUUCCAUAUAACGAAGGGAAGGCUUUUUUUAUAAUUUGGGGUUAAUAUCCCUGAACAUUUAGGAAUAAGGGGCCAAAAAAGAGCCAAAAAGAAGCAUUUUUCUAGAUUACAGGCAAUAACUGGGGUUUAAGUGAAUGGAUAUCUCUGAAAUUAUGCUACAAGGUUUCUUACUACAAAGGAAAGGCUGGAAUUGAGUUUAGGGGUUCUUACUCCAAGGUGGGAGGGGUUUCAAUAAGUGAGGGGUAAAAAAAGGUGCCCAAAUAAGCAUUUUUGUAGUUUUCAGUCAAUAACUUGUGUUUAAGUGUAUAAAUCUCGCUGAAGUUUCCAUACUACAAAGGGAUUGUUGAGGGGUUAUGGCUCAAACCAUUAAUCUAUUAGGAACAAAAAAGGGUGAAGACAAGGGUUUUUCUGGUGAAGGACAAUUUAGACAAUUUAAAAGCAGUGUAAGGGAGGUAAUGCAAUUAAAAUUUAAAUAAUACUGUUAUAUAUAAGUUUGAUUACUUGAUUACCUCCCUUACACUGCUUGUUUUCAAAAGUUUAUAGAAGAAAUCUUCAAUUGAACAGUAUUGUGCAAUAGAUUUGUUAGAUCUUGGACCACAUUUAUGUUGUGACAAAAACCCAUAUUAUGUCAAAAAUUUGAUCACGAUUCAAAUUCAGACAGUAUUAAGCUUGAAUAUUGUGACCAACUUUGCCCCAACUGUUCAGUGUUCGACCACUGCGGUCGUAUAAAGCUGCGCUCUGCGGAGCACCUGAUUGAGGUUUGGUUUGGUUUGGUUUAUUAUUUUAUGACUAAGAAUAAAAUUUAUUCCACG
This 1203-nucleotide long non-coding RNA is filed under the name Mytilus galloprovincialis (Mediterranean mussel). The record is from RNAcentral. Lineage: Eukaryota; Metazoa; Mollusca; Bivalvia; Mytilida; Mytilidae.